This is a long non-coding RNA of Ictalurus punctatus (channel catfish), 1956 nucleotides long. Lineage: Eukaryota; Metazoa; Chordata; Actinopteri; Siluriformes; Ictaluridae. The record is from Ensembl.
AUUUCUCGACUUGUCGUGACACUCUCCAAACCACACAGCAGGAUGGAGAAACAGAAGAGCAGGUUAGGACGUCAGUUCUCAUUUAUUUCUGACGGUCUCUCGGUUUGACGAACUUGUCAACACCAAAAGUAGGCCAUGUUUAUCAGUAAGAGUGUGCUCAUUCAAGAGUGAGUCCAGUGACUGUAAAAGAAUAAUUCUGCUCUAGAUGCUAUCCAGGCCCACUGUGUUUUAUUUGUUUGGUUUGUUUGGUUGUUGUAACAGCUCUGUUAAAUUCUAGAUUCUGAUCAGGAGGUGUUGAUUAAGUAAGGAAUAACGCACAAGAGGCUGUGCUAUUACACGAAAUUACAGCAUUAUAAUUAUUAUUAUUGUGGUCUGUGUGGUCUAAUGCCCCAGUAUAGUGAAGUGGACACUAUGCUGUAAAAACAGCACCGUCUUUCGGAUGAGACGUUAAACUGAGGUCCUGACUCUCUGUGGUCGUUAAAAAUCCAGGACACUUCUCGUAAACGGGUAGGGGUAUAACCUCGAAAUUCCCCCAUUGACCCUUCUCUAUCAUGGCCCCCUAAUAAUCCCCAUCUCUGAAUUGGCUACUUAACUCCCUCCUCUCCACUAAUAGCUGGUGUGUGGUGUAUGUUCUGGCGCACUAUGGCUGCCGUCGCAUGAUCCACAUGGAUGCUACACUCUGGCAGCGGUUGAGGAGGACCCCCCGCCCCCCAUAUACAGCUAGGCUCAAACAUGUUCAAGCCAACCAGGACAGCCAGAAACCUUGGCGUGAUUUUCGAUGACCACUUGAAAUGAUCUUGUGAUCUUGCAGCUCUCACUUCAAUAACUACACAUUCCUGUAGGUUCUUUCUGUAUAACAUCAAGAAAAUCAGACCGUAUCUAACUGAGCAUGCCACACAGCUACUAGUCCAGGCUCUCGUGCUCGCAAAACUGGACUACUGCAACUCUCUACUCUCAGGCAUUGCAGCCAGCUCCAUCAAACCCCUUCAGAUGAUUCAAAAUGCAGCAGCACGCCUCGUCUUCAACCAGCCCAAAUGAACUCAUGUCAAAGCCCUCUUCAUCUCCCUCCACUGGCUUCCUGUAUCUGCCCGUAUCAAAUUCAAGGCCUUGAUGCUCACGUACAAGACCUUGUCUCGAACAGCACCGCUCUACCUCAACACUCUCCUUGAGGUAUUUGUUACCUCUCACAACCUGCGAUCAGAUAAGGACCGACGCCUGGUAUAGUCCCUACACAAUCAAGGUUGGAGAAGAUGUGCAGUACGCUGCGGUGAAUUUCUCAAGAGAAAAAACAAAAAGAAAGACCACCGAGACCGAGAAUAAAGAAAUUCUUUACUCCAGUGUGGCAAACUUCGGCUUGGAGUGAUGCUCUCUUCUCUCUAUCCUCUUUAAACGUACAGUGAAUAUCACAUUUUAUUUACAACAAGAAAUAUUUAACAGUUAUCUUAACUGAUUUUGCCGUAUUUAUUAUAGAACCGUAAACACAUAGGGGAAGUGUAGCGGUUAAGGCUCUGGGUUAUUGAUCAGAAGGUCAGGGGUUCAAGCCCCAGAACUGCCAAGCUGCCACUGUUGGGCCCUUGAGCAAGGCCCUUAACCCUCUCUGCUCCAGGGGCACUGUAUCAUGGCUGAUUCUGCACUCUGACCCCAGCUUCCUGACAGGCUGGGGUAAGCAAAGAAAACAAUUUCACUGUGCUCUACUGUAUAUGUGUCCAUUAAAGACUCAUUAUGUAACAUAAUGUGUAAGGUUUAUUUAAAAGUUUCAGUUUUGAGAUUUUUUUUUGGAAAUCGUAGUUAAAUGUAUAAUAUUUAUGUGAUAUAUGUAUAAGCUGUAGAUCUGCCUUUAUAUUAUAAAACCUUGUUGUGAAUGAUGCAGUUGCAGUGACGACACAUUUGUCAUUUUAUUCAACACCCAAUUUAUUUACUUAAAACUUACUAAAAUCUUAUGAACUUAAACCAGAU